Long non-coding RNA from Heterocephalus glaber (naked mole-rat), 663 nucleotides. The record is from Ensembl. NCBI's taxonomy places the organism in Eukaryota, Metazoa, Chordata, Mammalia, Rodentia, Bathyergidae.
GGGCGCGUCCCCUCUGCACUGGGCCGGCUGCUCCUCCCUCUGCUCUCUGGCCUUCGGGCUUCCUGGUUCCUGGCCUGCCAUGCCAGCUGGUGCAGCUCCACUUCCUUCACCACACAGGAGCCACUUCGUAAUACACACACACCUGUUGGCCUUGGACCCUGGCACAGCCCUGACUCAGGUCCACCUCCCCCGACAGCCAUGCAAACUUCCUGGUACACCUGUGCCUCAUGGUGCACACCUUCCCUCACGGUGGCUGGCCCUGCAUCUUCCAGGUAAAUGUGGCCACGGCAUUUUCAGUUCCUUGUUCGAGAUGAGAAGAGCCUGGACUCUAACUACAGAGGGAGAGGCGAGCGGCCCAGAACCCGGCAGCAUACAGCUGGCGAGCCACUUUUAGAAGCCUACCCGGACAGAAAAGAUCUAGAAGCCACCUCUAGAAGGAGUCUCCAGAAUCCAAGAACCUGGUAACAAAACUGCUGUGGAGAAUCAGGAUUCCGCCUUGUGUUUUUAAUUACCGUAGUUUAGUAGAGCCUACUUAUUAAUUUUUAGAGCCCUUUUAAAAUAUCAUAUGUAAAGCAACUUUUUAAAAGCAACUUUUCGAUUUCUCAAUGAGAAAUUCAGUUAAUGUCUUUUUCUUCGAGUACCCUGAACUGGAAGUGAGCAGCA